GCAAAACAUAGUAAAAGAAAUUUUAGUUUUUAAAAUGAUCUAGAAUGUUGUUAAAUUAUUAAUAUCAUUCAUUGUGUAAAAGUAAAAUAAAAUUAAAACUUGUAGCAGAUAGAAUAAUACACUGAUGAAAGAUUAUGGAUUGGUGUGAAUAAGCAUCAGAGGAUAUUGUAAACAAACUAAUUUUUGUGUCGUUUUUUUCUCUCUAUAAAAUGAAUCAAACAAAUCAAAACAAACCAACAAAAUCAGAAAAUUACAAAAAUGUGUCUCUAUUAAAUUGGCUGAAAAGAAAGAAAAGAAAAUAAGUUUACAAAAGUAAACUAUCUUAGUAUCAAAUACCAAAAUGUUAAAAUUUGUUGUACAUGUAACUGACCAAAAUAAAAACAAAAACACAUUGCAUGACUUUAAAGCUAUGUGCAAAAUAUUAAAAAGCUAGAAAAUCCCAGAGGAAAUUGUUAUGAAUGAACAUUGGCAGACACGUGAACAGAUGUUAACCUGUAUGUUGGCAAAUUAGAUAAUGUUAUUGAACUCUACUGUUCUUGUACUGACAAUAUACUUUAGUGUUGAUGUUAGGGUAAGGCUUAUAGUUAGCGAUCAAGCUUAGCUGUUAGGGAUAGCAGUCAGGCUUAGCUGUUAGGGAUAGCAGUCAGGCUUAGCUGUUAGGGAUAGCUGUUAGGCUUAGCUGUUAGGGAUAGCUGUUAGGUUUAGCUGUUAUGGAUAGUGGUCAGGCUUAGCUGUUAGAGAUAACAGUCAGGCUUAGCUGUUAAGGAUAGUGGUCAGGCUUAGCUGUUAGGGAUAACAGUCAGGCUUAGCUGUUAGGGAUAGCGGUCAGGUUUAGCUGUUAGAGAUAACAGUCAGGCUUAGCUGUUAGGGAUAGCGGUCAGGCUAAGCUGUUAGGGAUAGCGGUCAGGCUUAGCUGUUAGCAAUAGCAGUCAGGCUUAGCUGUUAGAGAUAGUGGUCAGGCUUAGCUGUUUGGGAUAGUAGACAGAAUUAUCGGUUUGGGUUAGGGUUAACUCUGUUUAUAAUUUAAAUUUGCUUGUACUUAUUAUCAUACGAAAUAAACAGGAUGAAAUCUGUUUUCCAGGUUUUCUUGAUACAACUCAAAAACUAUCAUCCCGGGACUUCUAACUAUUACAAUUGGAAAACAAACACUGUCUAUUUUCAAAUUAAAAUAUGGUCAUUCAAAUAGGUAAAGUUUUUGACACAUGACAAACUU
Molecule: long non-coding RNA, 1213 nt
Filed under: Mytilus galloprovincialis (Mediterranean mussel)
Lineage: Eukaryota; Metazoa; Mollusca; Bivalvia; Mytilida; Mytilidae
Source: RNAcentral